RNAcentral lists this ribosomal RNA (253 nucleotides) under uncultured bacterium. RNAcentral's name for it is "partial 16S ribosomal RNA". It matches the Rfam family "Bacterial small subunit ribosomal RNA", at positions 524 to 776 of the family's 1533-position model. The record is from RNAcentral.
UACGUAUGGUGCAAGCGUUAUCCGGAUUUACUGGGUGUAAAGGGAGCGCAGGCGGCACGGCAAGCCUGAUGUGAAAGCCCGCGGCCCAACCGCGGGACUGCAUUGGGAACUACCGGGCUGGAGUGCCGGAGAGGUAGGCGGAAUUCCUAGUGUAGCGGUGAAAUGCGUAGAUAUUAGGAGGAACACCAGUGGCGAAGGCGGCCUACCGGACGGUGACUGACGCUGAGGCUCGAAAGCGUGGGGAGCAAACAGG